ACGAACGCUGGCGGCGUGCUUAACACAUGCAAGUCGAACGGUGAAGCGCCUUCCUUUUUGGUGGGUGUGGAUGAGUGGCGAACGGGUGAGUAACACGUGAGUAACCUGCCCCCUUCUUCUGGAUAACCGCAUGAAAGUGUGGCUAAUACGGGAUAUUCUGGGUCUGUCGCAUGAUGGGUCUGGGAAAGAUAUUGUUUCGGUGGGGGAUGGGCUCGCGGCCUAUCAGCUUGUUGGUGGGGUGAUGGCCUACCAAGGCGGUGACGGGUAGCCGGCCUGAGAGGGUGGACGGUCACACUGGGACUGAGACACGGCCCAGACUCCUACGGGAGGCAGCAGUGGGGAAUAUUGCACAAUGGGGGCAAGCCUGAUGCAGCGACGCCGCGUGAGGGAUGGAGGCCUUCGGGUUGUGAACCUCUUUCGCCAGUGAAGCAGGCCUGCCUCGUUUGUGGGUGGGUUGACGGUAGCUGGAUAAGAAGCGCCGGCUAACUACGUG
This 493-nucleotide ribosomal RNA is filed under the name uncultured bacterium. RNAcentral describes it as "partial 16S ribosomal RNA". It matches the Rfam family "Bacterial small subunit ribosomal RNA", at positions 29 to 507 of the family's 1533-position model. The record is from RNAcentral.